UCAACCUUGGAACUGCCAUCAAAACUUUUUAGCUAGAGUGUGAUAGAGGUAAGUGGAAUUUCUAGUGUAGAGGUGAAAAUUCGUAGAUAUUAGAAAGAACACCAAAUGCGAAGGCAACUUACUGGAUCAUUACUGACGCUGAGGAACGAAAGCAUGGGUAGCGAAGAGGAUUAGAUACCCUCGUAGUCCAUGCCGUAAACGAUGUGUGUUAGACGUUGGAAAUUUAUUUUCAGUGUCGCAGCGAAAGCAUUAAACACACCGCCUGGGGAGUACGACCGCAAGGUUAAAACUCAAAUGAAUUGACGGGGACCCGCACAAGUAGUGGAGCAUGUGGUUUAAUUCGAAGAUACGCGCAGAACCUUACCAACACUUGACAUGUUCGUCGCGACUCUAAGAGAUUAGAGUUUUCGGUUCGGCCGGACGAAACACAGGUGCUGCAUGGCUGUCGUCAGCUCGUGUCGUGAGAUGUUGGGUUAAGUCCCGCAACGAGCGCAACCCUCACUUUUAGUUGCCAUCAUUUAGUUGGGCACUCUGAAAGAACUGCCAGUGAUAAGCUGGAGGAAGGUGGGGAUGACGUCAAGUCCUCAUGGCCCUUACGUGUUGGGCUACACACGUGCUACAAUGGCAUUUACAAUAGGAAGCAAGAUGGCGACAUCAAGCAAAUCCUAAAAUGUGUCUCAGUUCGGAUUGUACUCUGUAACUCGAGUGCAUGAAGCUGGAAUUGCUAGUAAUCGCGGAUCAGCGCGCCGCGGUGAAUACGUUCCCGGGUCUUGUACACACCGCCCGUCACACCAUGGAAGUUGGUUACACCUUAAGGCAAAGCUUAUACCUUUGACUACGGUACGAUCAGCAACUGGGGUGAAGUCGUAACAAGGUAACCGUA
RNAcentral lists this ribosomal RNA (883 nucleotides) under uncultured bacterium. Its description in RNAcentral is "bacterial SSU rRNA". It matches the Rfam family "Bacterial small subunit ribosomal RNA", at positions 609 to 1504 of the family's 1533-position model. The record is from RNAcentral.